UGUUUGCCUUCAGUGGUAACAAACCUAGCCACUACCCAAGCUAUGCUUUGUUCCAUGACUCUUUGCUGACAUUAUGUUUGAUUUUUCUCAGGCUGAAACUUGAACCUUGUUUAUCUUCGUUGAGCUUUGUCUUUGGCUCCAGUGAUUUCCUGGAUGCUCAAGUUUACCUACGUUUUGUGGAUUACGUUCUGGAUUUUGUGUUUUGGAUUAAGCUGGCAGCUUCCUGGAAAUUCCCGACUCCUGAACCAAGGCAGAGGCGUACCCUGACCACCCUCCAACGCAAGUACCUGAACAUUGAACUCUCAUGAACUCACCAGUAUUCACUCCCCAGCUCGUACUGAAGCAUCUGGACAACAUAGCUUCGCACACCCAGGUUCUGACUCCCUCUACCCCUGGUGACCUGACAGCAUUUACUUAUUGCCGAAUUUAUCCAUUCAUGUCCAUGUGUUCACGUACUGUAAAUAAACACCGUUACACUUUCA
Molecule: long non-coding RNA, 482 nt
Organism: Girardinichthys multiradiatus
Lineage: Eukaryota; Metazoa; Chordata; Actinopteri; Cyprinodontiformes; Goodeidae
Exons: 2
Source: RefSeq, a predicted model, not a curated record